RNAcentral lists this ribosomal RNA (350 nucleotides) under uncultured Sphingobacteriales bacterium. RNAcentral's name for it is "bacterial SSU rRNA". It matches the Rfam family "Bacterial small subunit ribosomal RNA", at positions 1033 to 1382 of the family's 1533-position model. The record is from RNAcentral. Lineage: Bacteria; Pseudomonadati; Bacteroidota; Sphingobacteriia; Sphingobacteriales.
GCAAGGUGCUGCAUGGUUGUCGUCAGCUCGUGCCGUGAGGUGUCGGGUUAAGUCCCAUAACGAGCGCAACCCUUAUCGUUAGUUGCCAGCGGGUAAUGCCGGGAACUCUAGCGAAACUGCCGGUGUAAACCGUGAGGAAGGUGGGGAUGACGUCAAAUCAGCACGGCCCUUAUGUCCAGGGCUACACACGUGUUACAAUGGCCGGUACAGAGGGCAGCUACCUGGAGACAGGAUGCGAAUCUCCAAAGCCGGUCUCAGUUCGGAUCGGAGUCUGCAACUCGACUCCGUGAAGCUGGGAUUCGCUAGUAAUCGCGGAUCAGCAUGCCGCGGUGAAUACGUUCUCGGGGUUU